Molecule: ribosomal RNA, 253 nt
Filed under: uncultured bacterium
Lineage: Bacteria
Description: partial 16S ribosomal RNA
Rfam family: Bacterial small subunit ribosomal RNA
Source: RNAcentral
UACGUAGGGUGCAAGCGUUAAUCGGAAUUACUGGGCGUAAAGCGUGCGCAGGCGGUUUUGUAAGUCUGACGUGAAAACCCCGGGCUCAACCUGGGAAUUGCGUUGGAGACUGCAAGGCUGGAGUCUGGCAGAGGGGGGUAGAAUUCCACGUGUAGCAGUGAAAUGCGUAGAGAUGUGGAGGAACACCGAUGGCGAAGGCAGCCCCCUGGGUCAAGACUGACGCUCAUGCACGAAAGCGUGGGGAGCAAACAGG